AAGAGAAUCACCAUCGCAAGGAAGAACCUCCACGCCAGGGGCUGGGAGAAGAAAGCGUCAAUUAUCUGGCCAGUGGAGAUCCCUUGUUUCAGUGUUAUAAAUUGGGCUAGUGGUCUGACGGUGAUGAAACAGCCUACAGAGGAGAGGUUAACACCCUGACACAGUGGUGCCAAGACAACAACCUCCCCUUCAAUUUCCAAAAAACAAAUGAGCUGAUCGUGGAUUACAGGAGGAAUGGAGACAGUCUCACUGCAAUCACCAUCGAUGGGACUGCAGUCAAGAGGAGCCUUCCCAGUAACCAGAACAGGUCUGAACUAAAAUGCCGUCUCCUCAUGUAACUCAAAGAUCAACCUGUGGAAAGGGUGACCCGUUAAGAGCCAGGAAGACAGGGCCAGCUCAAAGUUUCCUGAUGCUAAAUUAUUCCAAGCUCCAUGCAAAGGGCCAGCUCGGAUCUCAGGAUUUAAGAGGAGGAGACAAGAUGAUCCCGAUAGCCAAAGCUGAUUUCUGCACAAGGAGAUCCAGACAUCAUUGAGCUAGUGACAUUCUAAUAAAGGGUGCCGGAGCGGAAAGUCAGAGCGGAGGAGUUUCGGAGCUGUCCACCUACAUCGAGAGUGAGGUUCAAUCGAUCUAAGCGUUGGGCCAAUUUGUGAAGCUCGGGUCUGGGCUGGAACGUGGCGGUUAGACCCAGCACGUAUUGAAGCGACAAUUUAAACGCCAGUCCCGAUGGACUGAAAAGGCUGGCUGUCGGGACCGGAGGCGAGGGUCGAACCGGUUCGCGACGUUUACUCUGCUCUGCUCCCUGCUGCACUGAGGCUGAGUGUGUGGGCCUGUUGUGGCUGCACCAGGCUUCGUGUCUGCGAUCUCCAUUACGUUUUGCUCCAUUGUGUUAUGGACGGAGAUUGAGGCUGAGGGCUGUUCUGGCUGCUCCAAGCUUCAUGUCUAUGGACUCAUUUUCGUUCUGAGUGCUGUUAUUUGCUUUAACGGUUUGCACAAUGUGUGUGUGUGUGUUUUUUUUUCUCUGCGCAUUCGGUGUUUGUUGGUCUUUUUCGAAAGCUUUUUUUUCCAGGUUUCUUGUUUUGUGGCUGCCUGUAAGGAGACGAAUCUCAAGGUUGUAUAAUUUACACAUACUUUGAUAAUAAAUGUACAUUGAACAUUGAACUUUGAUGUAAUGAACAGUUGGGAAGUAACGAAAGCUAGUAGUAGAGAGAAGACAAUCCAGUAGACGCUGACCCGUUCUGCAGCCACAAAAAUACCUCAAUUUCCGGUAACCAAAUAGAGAGUCUAACCAUCAGGUUCAAUUGGUUAGAUAAUAAUCAUUGUUAUAGAUUCACUGAGGUAACGGUAACAUAUCAGACCUGGUACACAUUGACAGGAGUAGGCAGUUUAGGUGGUUUGGCACAGACUAGAUGGGCCAAAGGGCCUUUUUCUGUUCUGUGCUUUUCUAUGAUGGACUGAACCUGAGAAUGCUGCUGCUUUCUAACUGUGCUGUGUUGCUUUUCUUGAGAUAUCCUUCAGCAGUAACCUGGUGUUUAACAACCACAGAAACUUGAGUCACUCAGUUGUCCAUUUUAGUCAAUAAACUGCCACGCUUUGGAACCAGAAAGUAAGAUGUUAGAGAGAAGUUCACACACAGUGCGCCACAAAGAGGAGCUUCCUUCAGCUGAAUCCAAUUCUACUCAUGGUUACCUCAAGCUCGUCAACAGCCAAAGGUUAUCAGUUCCUUCACACAUUACUGCUUCUGGAUCAUGCUGAACAAGUUGGUUUCAAAAUAAAUCCACUCAGUUCAGAUGCAAUAAUUAAUAACAGGAAGUUAACUGUAAACGAAACCAAAAGCUCACCUGUUCCAGCACACAAAACUAUGUCUG
This is a long non-coding RNA of Mobula hypostoma (lesser devil ray), 1865 nucleotides long. RefSeq lists it as uncharacterized. The transcript is spliced from 4 exons. The record is from RefSeq and is a predicted model, not a curated record. NCBI's taxonomy places the organism in Eukaryota, Metazoa, Chordata, Chondrichthyes, Myliobatiformes, Myliobatidae.